UACUCCUACGGGAGGCAGCAGUAGGGAAUCUUCCACAAUGGACGCAAGUCUGAUGGAGCAACGCCGCGUGAGUGAUGAAGGGUUUCGGCUCGUAAAACUCUGUUGUUGGAGAAGAACGGGUGUCAGAGUAACUGUUGACAUCGUGACGGU
This 150-nucleotide ribosomal RNA is filed under the name Lactobacillus sp. enrichment culture DGGE gel band 9. RNAcentral's name for it is "partial 16S ribosomal RNA". It matches the Rfam family "Bacterial small subunit ribosomal RNA", at positions 334 to 476 of the family's 1533-position model. The record is from RNAcentral. Lineage: Bacteria; Bacillati; Bacillota; Bacilli; Lactobacillales; Lactobacillaceae.